This 76-nucleotide ribosomal RNA is filed under the name Paenibacillus sp. RU5M. RNAcentral's name for it is "16S rRNA. Bacterial SSU". It matches the Rfam family "Bacterial small subunit ribosomal RNA", at positions 1 to 74 of the family's 1533-position model. Lineage: Bacteria; Bacillati; Bacillota; Bacilli; Caryophanales; Paenibacillaceae. The record is from RNAcentral.
CUUUAUUGGAGAGUUUGAUCCUGGCUCAGGACGAACGCUGGCGGCAUGCCUAAUACAUGCAAGUCGAGCGGACUUG